AGAGUUUGAUCCUGGCUCAGGACGAACGCUGGCGGCGUGCCUAAUACAUGCAAGUCGAGCGGACUUGAUGAGGAGCUUGCUCCUCUGAUGGUUAGCGGCGGACGGGUGAGUAACACGUAGGCAACCUGCCCGUAAGACCGGGAUAACUACCGGAAACGGUAGCUAAUACCGGAUAAUUUAUCGCUUCGCAUGGAGCGGUAAUGAAAGACGGAGCAAUCUGUCACUUACGGAUGGGCCUGCGGCGCAUUAGCUAGUUGGUGAGGUAACGGCUCACCAAGGCGACGAUGCGUAGCCGACCUGAGAGGGUGAACGGCCACACUGGGACUGAGACACGGCCCAGACUCCUACGGGAGGCAGCAGUAGGGAAUCUUCCGCAAUGGGCGAAAGCCUGACGGAGCAACGCCGCGUGAGUGAUGAAGGUUUUCGGAUCGUAAAGCUCUGUUGCCAGGGAAGAACGUCGGGUAGAGUAACUGACUAU
This 478-nucleotide ribosomal RNA is filed under the name Paenibacillus sp. D-39-25-6. RNAcentral's name for it is "bacterial SSU rRNA". It matches the Rfam family "Bacterial small subunit ribosomal RNA", at positions 8 to 472 of the family's 1533-position model. Lineage: Bacteria; Bacillati; Bacillota; Bacilli; Caryophanales; Paenibacillaceae. The record is from RNAcentral.